AGGAGUACCCAUAAGUUCAACCAUCCUAGUCUGAGAAUUAGGAUCAGCAUCCAUAUCACGAGUAACUUGAAUCUUAGCACCAGAUUGCAUCUGAAGAUACUUAAUAGUUUCACCUCCUUUACCAAUAAGAACACCAACCCUACCAUUAGGUAUUUCAAUCUUCUUACUAGAACCAUAACUACCACCUUGUUGUGAAUAUUGCGGCUUCAAAUCGUAAGAAUCAAACCCCGAGUGUGGAGCACCGUUAUCGGACUUGGUUCGUUUGGGAUCGUAGGAGAGUGGUGGAGCGCCGGUGACGCUGAGAAGACGAGCGGCGACUUCUUGAGCUCGUUGUUUGGCGUUUGCGACUUCGAGUUCGAUGUCAGUGGCGGUGGGUUGGUCAUCGUAUUUACGUUUUAGGGUUGCGUACUGUGCUUCUUCCGCCAUUGAAACAAACCCUAGAGGGAAGAAGAAAGUGAAAACACGAUGUGUGAAGGAAUUGGAUUAGGUUUUGAAAACACGAUGUGCUACUGGUCAUUUCAGAUACUAGAGAAGAGGUAAAAUUUUACUCGGACUUAAAUCUAAUUUUUAAUCACACAAAAAAAAAACCAAUUAAAAAAUGUAAAAUAAGAAUUUAACUAUCAUAUUUUUUUUUUUGGAAGGAAAUUUAACUAUCAUAUUUUAAAAAUUCAAUUAAAAAAAAGUAAUAUAAGAAUUUUUUUGACAAAAGUAAUAUAAGAAUUUAAUUAACAUAUUCUAAAAGUUUGGACUUAUAUAUAAAAAUCGUUGAUGGUCGUUAUUGAAUUUUAAGAUUUAUGAGUGGGUUCUUUUUGCCUAAAAAAAUAUUGUAAAAAUUAAAAAAAAUAUAUAUGAAUGGUAUUUUGAUUAAAAUUAUAGUACGAAUCGUUAGGUAUAUAUUUGUAAUUUAGUAAUUUGAAAAAUAAAUAAAUUGAAGAUUUCAUCAUAUUUCAUCCAAAUUAGAGGGUAAGCAAAACCAAAGUAAGUGGUGGAACAUGAUGGAAUGCAUGUUAUUGAGUUUUAUUCCAUCCCAUCCUUUUAAUGAUUAUUCAAACAAUGAAAUCUUAAUUUAUUCCAUUUCAUCCUACUUCAUUCCAUCACAUUCCAUCAAUUCAGACAUAGCCUUAGUGUUACGGUAGAUAUGUAGUUUGAUUUGGUUCGGAUGACAAAAUAAAAACCACAACCAAACACGAUUUAUUGCGGUUUUCGUUUUAAUUGGUUCCGUUUACGUUUCUAUUGAGUCACUAGGUUUUGAACACUCAUAAAUACUUGUUUGCGUGCGUAUAUGUAUAUGUGCAUAUAGUCACUAGAGGUGUUCAAAACCGAACCAACCCAAUAGAAAAACCGCAAACCAAACCAAUCCAACCCGAAAUCGCAAAAAACCGCACUUGGUUCAGAUGAAUUCGGAUGACUUUUGCAAUGAACCGCGCGGUUCGGUUUGGUUUGCGGUUUGCAUCUCAGCAGCCGAACCAAACCAAACCAAACCGCAAGAAUCAUGAAUAUUACUUAAACAUGUACUAGCCCAAUUACUGCACAAACUGAACCAAUCCAAACCGCAUUGGUUUGGUUUGGAUGAAUUUUUAAAAAUCAACCGAACCAACCAAACCGCAUGCUUUUUUAUCUCGUAGUUUGGGUUUUAUGCUCAAAACUGAACCAAACUACGUCGCGGACACCCCUAAUAGUCACUCUAAAAAGACAUUUAUAAAGGAACCGAAGGAGUGCUAUUAAAAAAUUAUUGUUAAUUGUUAUAUGGCUAAAAUAUGUUUUUGGUCCUUGCAAAUAUGGUGAGUUUGGAUUUUGGUCCCUGGUAAUUUUUUUUUUUUUAAAAAUUCAUCCCUGCAAAAAUUUUUGUUUUUUAAAAUAGUCCUUGACUCCACUUUAUUGAUGAUUUGACGCAUUUCUUCUACACACGUGGCUUUCGUUGACUGUGGAAGAACGUACACAUGGCACACAAGUGGCAAUUGCCUUAUUUAAAAUAUUUAAAAAUCAUUUUAAUUAAAAUUAAAUUUAGUUUUCAAAUUUAAAAAAAGAUUUAAUUAAAUUAAAAAAUUAAAGAAUCAGCAUUCUUUUCAUCUCUUCUUCUUCUCCAACCCUUUUCUUCUUAUUCUUCUUCUGCAAUAACACAACAUCUGUUUCACCAUCUUCACCAUUUUUCCAUCAUCAUUAAAACCAAUCAAAACCACAUUCAAUUGUAGAGAAAAUGGGAGAAAGAUAUCCAGAAUCUGAGGAGCAAAUCCAUAAACGAAAUCAAAUCUCAACGCAACAAAAAUCAAAUCUUAAACAAAAUCAAAUCUUCUCCAUCACAUCGCAGCAAAAUCAAAUCUUAAACAAAAUCUCAAAUUUGAGUAGCAAACCCAUAAACGAAAUCAGACGAACCCAGAAGCGAAAACGAGUGAGAAUCGUCUCCGGUAGUCAGAUCUGGUGGUUGGUGACUGAGCGGUGAUGAUGGCGGUUCAUGUUGUAGCGCGACGAGGACGGUGGCGGAGGAGUUUUAAUUUGCGGUGGCUUGAGAUGGGCUGAUGGCAAAUCUUGGUUGCUGUUAGUUUUUGUUUAUGAAUUGGAAACAAAUGAUGUUUUGUCAUAAUUGAGUUCAUGGUGAACUGUAGAUUGUGAUGUGAUGUUGUGUUUCUUACCUCCAUUGCUUCUCUCUUGUUGUUACUGUUCUAGAUCCAAAGAGAUGGUCUCUCUUGGUGUUCAGUUCUUAAUACAUGUUUUGGUCCUUAACUUAUUUUCGGAUUUUAUUUUGGUCCUCUAACUAUAAAGUGUCUCAAUUUGAUCUCUUAUGUUUUCUCCGUUACCUCUUUUGGUCUUCUCCCUUAGGUUGUUUUCAAAAAUAGUUAACCCUUGUCCACAUGUCAUUUAAGAUUGGAGAUUAAGGGUUAGAUUUAAAAAGUAUACAAUGAGCUCACAACAUACAAUCAUUUCUAUUUUUCUUGAUUUUCCUAAAAAUAUAAAUUUAAAAUCACCAUCAAUCUACAUCUUUUUAUAUAUUUUGAAAAUAAUUUGUAUCCAGAUUUUUAAAAAUUAAAAUAUUUUUCAGAAUUUUGUAGAAAAAAAUAAAAAAAAAUCUGACCUUUUUUUUUAAAAUUUCGUAAUAAAAUUAUUUUUUUUCAAAUUUUGAAAAAGAUUUUAUAAAAUUCAAGAAUAACUUUUUUUUUCAUAUUUUAUAAAAAUCUGAAUUUUUUUAUAUAUUUUUCAAAAUUAAAAUAUUUUCCAGAAUUUUGUAGAAAAAAUUAAAAAUAACCUUUUUUUUCGAAGAAAAAUAUGAUCUUUUUUUAUAACCUUUUUAAAUUCUGAAUUUUUUAAAUUAAAAUAUUUUCCAGAAUUUUGUAGAAAAAUUUGUAUCCAGAAUUUUAAAAAUUAAAAUAUUUCCCAGAAUUUUGUAGAAAAAAUUUAAAAAAACAUUUUUUUUCGGAAAUCUGACCUUUUUUUGAAAUUUCGUAAAAAAAUAAAUUUUUAAAUCUUGGAAAAGAUUUUAAAAAAAUUCUGGAAUAUUUUUUUGGAUAAUGUUUUAUGUACACACUUUUUUCCAUACACACAUUGUACCACUUCAUGUGAGAGUGUGUGAGAGACAAUACAUUUGAGUUUUUUUGUGUGUGGGGGGGACCACAAGGACACUUGUCAAAAUUGUAUGUGGGUGUACAAGUGGUACAUGUCACCUAAGGUGGUUUAUGUAUCACCACUCAUUUUUUUUCCUUCUAAUUUUAAAAUAUGAAUUUUUUAUAUAUUUUUCCAGAUUUUUAAAAAUUAAAAUAUUUUUCAGAAUUUUGUAGGAAAAAAUUAAAAAAACCUUUUUUUUCGAAAAAAAAAACUGACCUUUUUUAAAAAUUUCGUAAAAAAAUAAAUUUUUUUAAUUUUGAAAAUGAUUUUAAAAAAAUCUGGAAUAUUUAAAAUAUGAAUUUUUUAAUAUAUUUUUUGCUUCAAAAAAAUCAGGUGUUAAUCAUUCACCGUAGGCUACAAUAAACCUACAUGAUCCAACGGUUUCUAUUUGAAAAAUAGAUCAAAAAGUUAAAAUGUAACGGAGAGGACCAAAAGAGGUAACGGCAUAAGACAUAAGGGACCAAAUUGAGACACUUUAUAGUUAGGGGACCAAAAUGAAAUCCGAAAAUAAGUUAAGGGACCAAAGCAUGUAUUAAGCCAUAAAUUUAUGAAUUUUCCACCUUUUCUGCAGUUUCUUUAAUUUUUAAUCACUUAAUUAAACUUAAUUGAUUUUUUAUUUUAAUUUCAAAAGUAUAUUUUUUUAUUUUAAAAAAUGGUUUUUAAAUAAUUAAAUUGAAACAAUUGUCAUGUGGCUGCCAAUUGUGCAUAAUUACACAGUCAGUGAAUGUCACGUAGGCAGAAAUGCGCCAAAUCAUCAAUAAAAUGGGGUCAAGGACUAUUUUAAAAUACAAAAAAUUUUGCAGGGAUGAAUUUCAAAAAAGAAAUUUACCAGGGACCAAAAUCCAAACUCGUCAUAUUUGCAGGGAUCAAAAACAUAUUUUAGCUUGUUAUAUUUGUUGAAGGAAGUUAAUGCAAAUUAAAUUCGCUAAAUAAAAUCUAUGAUUUAUUAUGUCAAGAGAAAAGUCAAAUAAAUAUAAGUUAAUAACUUAAAAUAUAUUUGAUUUAAAGAUAUUGAUCAUAAACAAGUUAUUUAACUUUACUAACAAAAAAAAUUGCAUUGAUGAUAAUAUUUAAAAUGUCAUGUUAAUAUAAAUAAAUAAAAAAACAUUUUUUACACUUUUGUAAUGCAUAAAAAGAGAGAAAACCAAUCAAACAUAUCUUAAAAGAGAGAUGAUCCAGAAGCAAAGAGGAUACGGAUUUUGUAAUGCAUAAAAAAAUGAAAACCAAUCAAGACUGCACAAAUAAUACAUGGCAUUUUUUUUUUUUUGACGAAAUACAUAAUGACAUGUUGAUCAUACAGAUUUCAGAUAUGAUUUUGUUCGGACUAAGAAAAUAACACCUAUGCUGCAUGUUGAAUCAAAAGCUCCUGCUAUCAUAAGCUACUGCUAUCAUGUGAUAUCAUACAGAGCUCUACUGAGAUCUCCUGAAAUAUGUAACUUAUACAUAUAAAAUCCUUCUUACAUUUUCAAAAAACUUAGGUUUAUUUAAGUAUUCUGUGUUCAUUUUAGUAAUGUCUUUUAACAUAUAUUCCACGGUUGCACCAAAAUUCUGCAAAUGGCAUGUAACUUCGCAGCUCAUUUCAGGAAAAUUCUUUCCUUUUGAAAUGAAAGAUACGGGGAUCAAACCAUACAACUUUUAAAAGGAAAAUGCUAGUCUAACGCUGGAUUCAGUACAAUUUGUUAGCUCCUAUUCAACCUUCCGGAAAAUAUUCAAGUACCAAAAUAAGUUUGUUUUCAUCUAGACACUGCAAUGCCAUAUAGAUGUUGCUAUCAAAAUGGGAGGAAAAAAAAUUAAAACCACAUCCCAAAGGACCAUAAUAAAAUCACAAAAGACAAAUCAACUCUUGGGUGAGACUUUAGCAACACCGCCCUGUGGAACAGCCUGUGCAGUUGCUCCAUCGCUAGCAUAUGCUGGAGCCUGAGCAUAACCAGCACCAUAAGAACUAUUUCCAUAUGACGCUGGAGUCUGGCCAUAGCUAGGCUGGCCACCUUGAGGAGCACCAUAUGAUUGCGGACCAUACCCUGGUUGCACUGGUGCUCUCUGAGUUCCUAACUCUGGUUGAGCAUAUCCAGAAGGUGGGGCCUGGCUAGAGGGAUAUGCUGACUGACCAUAGCCUGCUGCUGUGCUAGGUGACUGUGACUGACCAUAAACAGGUGGAUUUGCACUUGGCUUUUGAGAGGGAGGAGCACCAUAACCAGUUCCAUAACCAGACUGUGGUUGACUUCCAUAGGUCGCUUGGGACGUAGGGGCUACCGCAUAACCUGGUUGAGGAGUUCCUUGUUGGUUGGUAGCAUAGCCUUGCUGGGCAACAGUAGUGGGUUGGGAAGUUUGGGAGGUAUCUGCUUGUGAUCCAUAGUUUGAAGUGUGCCCUUCUUGGGUUGGAUUACUCCCACUGCCAUAACUGGGAGCAGAGCCAUAACCUUGUUGCUGAUCAUAUGUUUGUGGCUGACCAUACCCAGAUUGUUGCUGCGCAUUAUAUGCACCAUAGCUUUCCUGACCAUAACCCUGUCCUGGUUGGCUAUAACCAGAUGAAGGGGGUUGACUGUAACUGUAUGCAGACCCAUCGGCUGGCUGUGAAGGACCCCCAGGAUUUUGCUGUUGCUGGGGUUGUUGAUUGUAAUAAUCAUAACCACUUGCAUGAGUAGACUGCUGGUGAGAUGGUGCAGUGGAUUGGUCCCAGUUGGCGGAAUAUCCACCGGGUUGCUGAGGAGGAUAGCCUGUGUAUGGUGGCUGAGGCGUGUUAUACUGGGGUGAUGGACCAGAGUAUGAUCCAGGUUGCCCAUAGCCAUAACCAGCUUGUUGCACAGGAGCAGCAGGAGGAGCCCAGCUAGACGGUGGUCGGGAUUGGUAACCUUGCUGAGUAUAACCACCCGAGUUCCCUGAAUUUCUGAGACGAUUCUGCAGAGAGAAACAUCACAACCACAAAUUAAAAAGGUGAACUUGCCCAACGUACCAAAACAUAAAAAUAUAUGAAGCAAUAGAUGUACACACAAAACGGGUGUCAAAAUAUGCACAACCUCAUUUCCAUUGAUGCCAUUAAAAAUUAGUCAUAAUUUCAAUAAGCUCAUUGUCAAGACAACCGAUAUUUUACUCACUACAAGAGCAAGUAUGGGAAACUAAAACCAAAUAUACAGACUGUAUUUCACUAAGCCCCAAGUACAUUGAAACAAUCCUCUCAACCCAAUCUAACACGUCAGCCUAAACAAACCAUGAAAUAAAAGCGAAUAAAACUGAUUAGCGAGAGCCAUUAUAAUUGAAAGUGAAUUCAACGUAGGAACAACAAACACAUGCAAAUAGUUAUUCUUUGUAUGUAGAUGAGCACAAGUCCCAAGGAUAAAACAAUGCCAAAUGAAAGUUGAGCAAAUGACCCAACGAUAAGAAAUAUUUUAAGUAUAAGUUCUUACGAACAAUCGACAGAAACACAGAAAUGGCGUUGUUGAAGAGAAUUUCAAACAAAAUCUAACAGCCAGGACACAAAUAGAGACAAUAACCAAGAUUCCUCAAAGUGUUGUCUAAUUUUAUGGCUGACAUACACAAUCAACAAGUCAAAAUUCAAAAGGACAUAAGUUAAUAAAUCAUAGUUACUGCACUGAGUUAUCACGGUUUCAUUUGGCAAGCUUAUGCAACCAUACUUUAGAAACAUGAGCACCUUAUUUUUACAAAAGGCAGAGACUAAAAAUGAAGAAUAAAUUUUGUAGGGACUAAACUCAAAAGGUCCAUAAUUUUAUAAGGUAAUUAUACAAGAACUUCAAACAUAUUUAAUCCUAAAACUAAACAUGGUUAUAAACCCAUAAUUUUAAACUUAAAAGAGAGUUGGCACAUUCCAGCCAAAAAUGACAAGCCAAAUAGAACAAAAAAUUGUGUUGAUAACAUACCUCACCAGUGAGGAUUUGAUUAACCAAUUGCUUUGCUGAUUCAAUUUGAUCAGGGGUCCCAUCGAUUUUUAAUGUUCUUUCUGUUGAUGUAUCACCUGGGGGAGGAUGCAAAGGUAUCACCUGAAAAAAUUGACGAUAUUAGUAAAAAGGUUAAAAUGAAUAGGAAAUCCAAAUCUUGAGAGUCGGGCAGUCAGCUUUUAACAGCAUCUAACUUUUAACAUAAUCAUGAUUAAGAAACUAUAUAUCGAACAAAAAAUGAAGACAAAAGCACAAGAGAGAACCUGAAUUCGUGCUCCAGUAGAAGCUUGCAUACCCUUAAUUGUUUCUCCUCCUUUACCGAUUAUAAGGCCAACCUAAAGAUGCACACAAGAAACCACAUCAACCCAAUAGAGGAUAAACAAAACACUGUCAAAAAACAUGCCUGCAACUGCACAUAUUUCCUCCCCACACCUUAUUGUUUGGUAUUUGCAUCACAAAUUCAUCCCCCCCAGAUUGUGCAACCAUCCGUCUAGUGCCACCGACAGAAGCCCCAGCUUCAGCCUAGUUAAUAAACAACACGUAUCAGUAAUGUUUCACAAACAGGUCAAAGUUACACCAAUUCCAACAUCAUUUGAGCAUAUUAAUUCAUGAAAUACUUAAUAUUAUAGUCACAGAAUCAGUAGAAAACAACUCUUAUCAGUGAUGUCUCACUAACAGUUUACAGUUACAGCAAUUCAACAUCACUUUGUUAGAGCAAAUUUAUCGUGAAAUAUUUCAUACUACAGAUACAAAAUCAGUUGAAACAAGUGAUGUUUAUCGAACAGAUUAAAGUUUAAGCCACUCAAAUCAUUUUAGCAAAUUCAUCAUGAAAUAAUUAUCAGCAAUGUUUUACUAACAGGUUAUGAUUAAUGUCGUCCAAGCUUCAUUUGAGCAAAUUUAUCGUGAAAUACUCCAUACUGCAGAUACAAAGUAAGUUGAAAACAACUCCUAUUAGUGAAUGUUUCACUAAGAGGUAAAGUCACGGUCAUUUGAACAUCAUUUGAGCAAAUUUACCAUGAAAUUGUGCAAGAUUUCAAGAAAACAACUCUCAACCACUGAUACUUCACUAACAGAUUACAGUUAACAGUUGCAAAAUCUGUUGAAAACAACAAUUUCACUAACAGUUUACCUUUACCGAAUUGAAACAUCAGUUGAGCAAAAUUGAUCAUAAAGCACAUCAUAUCACAUAUACAAAAUCAGUUGGAUACAACAAAAUCAGGCUACGAUUGCACCAAUUUCUACAUCAUGUGGGAAAUUUAUCAUAAAACACUUCAUAUAACGGAUACAAAAUCAGUUCAAACCAGCUCUAAUCAAUGAUAUUUCACUAAGGUAACAGUUACGGUGAUUUCAAAACAAGAAUUAAGCAAAUUAAUCACGACAUACUUCAUAUAACAGUAAAAAAAACAGUUCAAAACAACUCAUAUCAAUGAUUUUCCCUAAAACGUAACAAUUACAGUAAUUCAAAAAAUAUGAAUUAAUCAAAUUGUUAUCAGUAAACACGAGUUUAAAACAAACAAACCUCGGCAAGGACUUCAUUGAUGAGUUUCUCAGCAGAAGAAACAGCAUCAGGAGUACCCAUAAGUUCAACCAUCCUAGUCUGAGAAUUAGGAUCAGCAUCCAUAUCACGAGUAACUUGAAUCUUAGCACCAGAUUGCAUCUGAAGAUACUUAAUAGUUUCACCUCCUUUACCAAUAAGAACACCAACCCUACCAUUAGGUAUUUCAAUCUUCUUACUAGAACCAUAACUACCACCUUGUUGUGAAUAUUGCGGCUUCAAAUCGUAAGAAUCAAACCCCGAUUGUGGAGCACCGUUAUCGGACUUGGUUCGUUUGGGAUCGUAGGAGAGUGGUGGAGCGCCGGUGAC
RNAcentral lists this long non-coding RNA (9354 nucleotides) under Medicago truncatula (barrel medic). Its description in RNAcentral is "long non-coding RNA (MTRU_LNC001185)". The record is from RNAcentral. Lineage: Eukaryota; Viridiplantae; Streptophyta; Magnoliopsida; Fabales; Fabaceae.